Molecule: ribosomal RNA, 400 nt
Filed under: uncultured bacterium
Lineage: Bacteria
Description: bacterial SSU rRNA
Rfam family: Bacterial small subunit ribosomal RNA
Source: RNAcentral
GGGGGAUAUUGCACAAUGGAGGAAACUCUGAUGCAGCAACGCCGCGUGAGGGAAGAAGGUCUUCGGAUUGUAAACCUUUGUCCUUGGUGACGAUAAUGACGGUAGCCAAGGAGGAAGCUCCGGCUAACUACGUGCCAGCAGCCGCGGUAAUACGUAGGGAGCGAGCGUUGUCCGGAUUUACUGGGUGUAAAGGGUGCGUAGGCGGCUCUGCAAGUCAGGUGUGAAAACUAUGGGCUUAACCCAUAGACUGCGUUUGAAACUGUGGGGCUUGAGUGAAGUAGAGGCAGACGGAAUUCCCGGUGUAGCGGUGAAAUGCGUAGAGAUCGGGAGGAACACCAGUGGCGAAGGCGGUCUGCUGGGCUUUAACUGACGCUGAGGCACGAAAGCAUGGGUAGCAAAC